GGGUUGUGAGGUUAAGCGACUAAGCGUACACGGUGGAUGCCUAGGCAGUCAGAGGCGAUGAAGGGCGUGCUAAUCUGCGAUAAGCGUCGGUAAGCUGAUAUGAAGCGUUAUACCCGACGAUACCCGAAUGGGGAAACCCAGUGUGUUUCGACACACUAUCAUUAACUGAAUACAUAGGUUAAUGAGGCGAACCGGGGGAACUGAAACAUCUCAGUACCCCGAGGAAAAGAAAUCAACCGAGAUUCCCCCAGUAGCGGCGAGCGAACGGGGAGGAGCCCAGAACCUGAAUCAGUUUGUGUGUUAGUGGAAGCGUCUGGAAAGUCGCACAGUAAAGGGUGAUAGUCCCGUACACAAAAAUGCACAAGUUGUGAGUUCGAUGAGUAGGGCGGGACACGUGACAUCCUGUCUGAAUAUGGGGGGACCAUCCUCCAAGGCUAAAUACUCCUGACUGACCGAUAGUGAACCAGUACCGUGAGGGAAAGGCGAAAAGAACCCCGGCGAGGGGAGUGAAAUAGAACCUGAAACCGUGUACGUACAAGCAGUGGGAGCCUACUUGUUAGGUGACUGCGUACCUUUUGUAUAAUGGGUCAGCGACUUAUAUUCUGUAGCAAGGUUAACCGUAUAGGGGAGCCGCAGGGAAACCGAGUCUUAACUGGGCGUUAAGUUGCAGGGUAUAGACCCGAAACCCGGUGAUCUAGCCAUGGGCAGGUUGAAGGUUGGGUAACACUAACUGGAGGACCGAACCGACUAAUGUUGAAAAAUUAGCGGAUGACUUGUGGCUGGGGGUGAAAGGCCAAUCAAACCGGGAGAUAGCUGGUUCUCCCCGAAAGCUAUUUAGGUAGCGCCUCGUGAAUUCAUCUUCGGGGGUAGAGCACUGUUUCGGCUAGGGGGUCAUCCCGACUUACCAACCCGAUGCAAACUACGAAUACCGAAGAAUGUUAUCACGGGAGACACACGGCGGGUGCUAACGUUCGUCGUGAAGAGGGAAACAACCCAGACCGCCAGCUAAGGUCCCAAAGUCAUGGUUAAGUGGGAAACGAUGUGGGAAGGCACAGACAGCCAGGAUGUUGGCUUAGAAGCAGCCAUCAUUUAAAGAAAGCGUAAUAGCUCACUGGUCGAGUCGGCCUGCGCGGAAGAUGUAACGGGGCUAAACCAUGCACCGAAGCUGCGGCAGCGACACUUAGGUGUUGUUGGGUAGGGGAGCGUUCUGUAAGCCGUCGAAGGUGGCCUGUGAGGGCUGCUGGAGGUAUCAGAAGUGCGAAUGCUGACAUAAGUAACGAUAAUGCGGGUGAAAAACCCGCACGCCGGAAGACCAAGGGUUCCUGUCCAACGUUAAUCGGGGCAGGGUGAGUCGACCCCUAAGGCGAGGCUGAAAAGCGUAGUCGAUGGGAAACAGGUUAAUAUUCCUGUACUCGGUGUUACUGCGAAGGGGGGACGGAGAAAGCUAGGUUAUCCGGGCGACGGUUGUCCCGGUUUAAGCGUGAAGGUGGAUGACUUUGGUAAAUCCGGGUCGUCAUUAACACUGAGGCGUGAUGACGAGUCACUACGGUGAUGAAGUAACCAAUGCUACGCUUCCAGGAAAAGCCUCUAAGCUCCAGGUAACAUCAAAUCGUACCCCAAACCGACACAGGUGGUCAGGUAGAGAAUACUCAGGCGCUUGAGAGAACUCGGGUGAAGGAACUAGGCAAAAUGGUGCCGUAACUUCGGGAGAAGGCACGCUGAUGGUAGGUGAAGUGACUUGCUCAUGGAGCUGAAAUCAGUCGAAGAUACCAGCUGGCUGCAACUGUUUAAUAAAAACACAGCACUGUGCAAACACGAAAGUGGACGUAUACGGUGUGACGCCUGCCCGGUGCCGGAAGGUUAAUUGAUGGGGUCAGCCGCAAGGCGAAGCUCUUGAUCGAAGCCCCGGUAAACGGCGGCCGUAACUAUAACGGUCCUAAGGUAGCGAAAUUCCUUGUCGGGUAAGUUCCGACCUGCACGAAUGGCGUAAUGAUGGCCAGGCUGUCUCCACCCGAGACUCAGUGAAAUUGAACUCGCUGUGAAGAUGCAGUGUACCCGCGGCAAGACGGAAAGACCCCGUGAACCUUUACUAUAGCUUGACACUGAACCUUGAGCCUUGAUGUGUAGGAUAGGUGGGAGGCUUUGAAGCGUGGACGCCAGUCUGCGUGGAGCCAACCUUGAAAUACCACCCUUUAAUGUUUGAUGUUCUAACGUGGACCCGUAAUCCGGGUUGCGGACAGUGUCUGGUGGGUAGUUUGACUGGGGCGGUCUCCUCCCAAAGCGUAACGGAGGAGCACGAAGGUUAGCUAAUCCUGGUCGGACAUCAGGAGGUUAGUGCAAAGGCAUAAGCUAGCUUGACUGCGAGAGUGACAGCUCGAGCAGGUGCGAAAGCAGGUCUUAGUGAUCCGGUGGUUCUGAAUGGAAGGGCCAUCGCUCAACGGAUAAAAGGUACUCCGGGGAUAACAGGCUGAUACCGCCCAAGAGUUCAUAUCGACGGCGGUGUUUGGCACCUCGAUGUCGGCUCAUCACAUCCUGGGGCUGAAGUAGGUCCCAAGGGUAUGGCUGUUCGCCAUUUAAAGUGGUACGCGAGCUGGGUUUAGAACGUCGUGAGACAGUUCGGUCCCUAUCUGCCGUGGGCGUUGGAAGAUUGAGAGGGGUUGCUCCUAGUACGAGAGGACCGGAGUGAACGCACCACUGGUGUACGGGUUGUGAUGCCAAUUGCAUUGCCCGGUAGCUAAGUGCGGAAGAGAUAACCGCUGAAAGCAUCUAAGCGGGAAACUUGCCUCGAGAUGAGUCUUCCCUGGGUACUUGAUACCCCUGAAGGGCCGUUGAAGACGACGACGUAGAUAGGCUGGGUGUGUAAGCGUAGCGAUACGUUGAGCUAACCAGUACUAAUGACCCGAGAGGCUUAACCUUACAACACCGAAGGUGUUU
This 2934-nucleotide ribosomal RNA is filed under the name Pectobacterium carotovorum subsp. carotovorum. RNAcentral's name for it is "bacterial LSU rRNA". It matches the Rfam family "Bacterial large subunit ribosomal RNA". The record is from RNAcentral. Lineage: Bacteria; Pseudomonadati; Pseudomonadota; Gammaproteobacteria; Enterobacterales; Pectobacteriaceae.